This 331-nucleotide unclassified non-coding RNA is filed under the name soil metagenome. RNAcentral's name for it is "partial contains 5.8S ribosomal RNA, internal transcribed spacer 2, and large subunit ribosomal RNA". The stretch from base 1 to 120 matches the Rfam family "5.8S ribosomal RNA", at positions 35 to 154 of the family's 154-position model. The record is from RNAcentral.
GAUGAAGAACGCAGCGAAAUGCGAUAAGUAAUGUGAAUUGCAGAAUUCAGUGAAUCAUCGAAUCUUUGAACGCACAUUGCGCCCGCCAGUAUUCUGGCGGGCAUGUCUGUUCGAGCGUCAUUUCAACCAUCAAGCCCCAGGCUUGUGUUGGGGUCCUGCGGCUGCCGCAGGCCCUGAAAAACAGUGGCGGGCUCGCUGUCACACCGAGCGUAGUAAUACAUCUCGCUUUGGACGUGCGGCGGGUUCUUGCCGUUAAACACCCCCCUUCUCAAGGUUGACCUCGGAUCAGGUAGGAAUACCCGCUGAACUUAAGCAUAUCAAAAGCGGAGGA